Molecule: long non-coding RNA, 714 nt
Organism: Pyrus x bretschneideri (Chinese white pear)
Lineage: Eukaryota; Viridiplantae; Streptophyta; Magnoliopsida; Rosales; Rosaceae
Exons: 2
Source: RefSeq, a predicted model, not a curated record
AUUACAUCAUUCAAAAUUUUCUUACAUAAUCCAACUUUUAUUUUGGGUAACACAAGCAUAUAUUACUCAAUUAUUUAUCUGGGACCCCAAAAAUGGAUAUUUGCGUGGGAACAAAAUUAUAAAGUGAGACAUGGUAGAUUGGUGAUUAUUAAUGUUAUCCCUUCCAAUUCUACUAUAUACACUCUUUGAAGAGGAGCUUUAACUUGAAAUCUGCCAUAUUUAAGAAUACAUACAUACAUACAUACAUACAUACAUAUAUAUAUAUAUAUAUAUAUGUAGGGAAUAUGAUCCUCUCUGGAUCCAAUCCAUUUGGAUCGUCAGGAUCUCACCCGCCCAGCUGAAUUCUUCCCCCAAUUCUAGUAACAAAUGGCACAAUUUCAAAACAACGAGUUGAAGUACGGCGUCAACGACUACUACGACGUUGCCGACUUCGAAGACAUUGACGCUUUUGCCAAUAACCAGCUCCGGCAAAGCCACGACACCGACUUGGAUUUUAAUGAAGAAGGAUUCGAAAGAUGUGAAUGGAUGUGAUCUGGAGAGGAUCCUAUCCCAUUAUAUAUAUAUAUAUAUAUAUGCGCUACUAUACUGCAAAUCUAAUUUCUUUAACAUGAAGAUUGCUAUCUUCAUUUCAUGCUUUCCAAAACCCACCCACUCUUUCGCAACAUAUAAAAUAUUAAAAAAAUAAAAAAACAAAUGAAGCAUUAUAUUCUCAAA